This 305-nucleotide ribosomal RNA is filed under the name uncultured bacterium. RNAcentral describes it as "bacterial SSU rRNA". It matches the Rfam family "Bacterial small subunit ribosomal RNA", at positions 333 to 632 of the family's 1533-position model. The record is from RNAcentral.
UUAGCCUACGGGGCGCAGCAGUAGGGAAUUUUCGUCAAUGGGCGCAAGCCUGAACGAGCAAUGCCGCGUGAACGAGGAAGGUCUUCGGAUCGUAAAGUUCUGUUGAAGGGGAAAAAGAGCGGAGAGAGGAAAUGGUCUCCGAUUGAUAUUACCCUUCGAGGAAGUCACGGCUAACUACGUGCCAGCAGCCGCGGGAAUACGUAGGUGGCGGGCGUUAUCCGGAAUGAUUGGGCGUAAAGGGUGCGUAGGCGGCCGGCUAGGUCUGGAGUGAAAGGUACCGGCUCAACCGGUACAGGCUCGGGACA